RNAcentral lists this ribosomal RNA (383 nucleotides) under uncultured soil bacterium. RNAcentral describes it as "bacterial SSU rRNA". It matches the Rfam family "Bacterial small subunit ribosomal RNA", at positions 26 to 406 of the family's 1533-position model. The record is from RNAcentral.
AGAGUGAACGCUGGCGGUAGGCCUAACACAUGCAAGUCGAACGGCAGCACAGUGGUAGCAAUACCAUGGGUGGCGAGUGGCGGACGGGUGAGGAAUACAUCGGAAUCUACCUUUUCGUGGGGGAUAACGUAGGGAAACUUACGCUAAUACCGCAUACGCCCUUCGGGGGAAAGCCGGGGAUCGCAAGACCUGGCGCGGAUAGAUGAGCCGAUGUCGGAUUAGCUAGUUGGUGAGGUAAUGGCUCACCAAGGCGACGAUCCGUAGCUGGUCUGAGAGGAUGAUCAGCCACACUGGAACUGAGACACGGUCCAGACUCUACGGGAGCAGCAGUGGGGAAUAUUGGACAAUGGGACGCAAGCCUGAUCCAGCCAUACCGCGUGGGG